GUGUGACCUUUUAAUUCCAGUGUUAAGUUCUUUAUUGCAAGCGUUCUUGUUUUUCAGUUUAAUUUCUAAUGUUACACAGCUCUGCUUUUAGUUUUUACAAAACAAAUGAAUUCAAAUCUACUCGAAAUACAUCUUCAAACACCUCUGCUGCAUAAAAAGGCGCAAGAUUAAGAAAAUAAUCCACCAGCCCGUAUGCUGCAGUUCCCAGGCUCCGUGACAGUGGGUUUUUCUCCACACACAUCUUCAUCUGUGGCCCUGGGUGUUUAUGGAGUGGAAAGUGCAGGCCUGCUCUCAAAGUGAAUUGAAGUCUUCGUGUCCUGUGCACCUGAAUAAAAGGAUGUGAAGUUUCAGACUGAUGACCGCUUGGACAGUGUUCAUCUCCUGUCGGUCACUUGCAAUUCGUUUGAAAUGAGACUCUUGUUUGGCCUAUAAGCUUCACCACCCCUUAGCCCUGCACAAAAGCACAGAACUGGGAGGCAAAGGAAGUGAAGAGAGAAAGGCCACCUUCAGUCUAUGUGUGCAUGAAUCGUAGAGAUCCAUUAAAUCUAUUUCACCGGCUUUCCUUGGUACUCCAUACAUAAGCACCCAGCCUAAAUUCCCCCCAUAGUGACUCAGUGAAAGGGAGCCGGGAUGAAUAGCACACUUUAUUGGAGCAUGCCAUGAGUGGUCAAACAGCAGUGGCGGGCCCAUUCUUCGCCCCUUCAGGCCAUUAUUAAAAAGGGCUUUACGGAGCCUUGUAAAAGUGUUCUCUCCUCAGGGGGCCUGCAUAAUAAAAAUCGAAGUCAAAUUAAAGCCCCGCGGAGCAAAGAACUGUGGGUGG
This 820-nucleotide long non-coding RNA is filed under the name Danio rerio (zebrafish). RNAcentral's name for it is "lncRNA si:ch211-203l7.3 (ENSDARG00000092282.4)". The record is from RNAcentral. Lineage: Eukaryota; Metazoa; Chordata; Actinopteri; Cypriniformes; Danionidae.